UAUGGUUUCAUUUGUGGAAAGUGUGAUGUUUCAGUCCCUUUAUCCAGGGAAUCAUUACAUUAUUCCUAAGAGGCUUAGUCAGGAUGUUGUUGAGUCUUUUUUUUCCAUGCAAAGGCAGUCCUGUGGAGGGACAAACAAUAUGACUGCAUAUACAUAUGGGUAUAACAUAAACAGCACACUUGCAUCAUCAACCAAGUUGCUAUCAAAGAAACAGACAAAUGUCUACGAAACUGAUGAUGUUGACCUUGGACAGCAGCCACAGAGUUGGUCCAGUCUUCCAAAGAGGGACAAUGUUCAGGGCAUAUUUCAUAAAAAUCUUUGGCCAGUACAUCUUUAAGCUGUUGUAGUUUUGAAAUAACCCUAUUUAUGCAAAAAAAAUGGCACCAAUAAUACACCUGGCCAUUUAUUGGAUACUUGUUCCAAUGUUCUCAUGUUUCAUGCACAAUAGGGUUAGGGAUUAUGGGUAGGUUUGUGAUUGGAUCAAGAUGAUAUAUUUGUGCAUGAAACAUGGGGGUGUAACCUUAAUGUGUGCUUGCCAUCCGAAAACAUGGAAACAGGGUCAUUGGGCCAAUACCACAGAAUACUAUACAGAAG
Molecule: non-coding RNA, 594 nt
Organism: Paramuricea clavata
Lineage: Eukaryota; Metazoa; Cnidaria; Anthozoa; Malacalcyonacea; Plexauridae
Source: the annotation of a GenBank genome assembly